Molecule: ribosomal RNA, 430 nt
Filed under: uncultured archaeon
Lineage: Archaea
Description: bacterial SSU rRNA
Rfam family: Archaeal small subunit ribosomal RNA
Source: RNAcentral
AACCAGCUCUUCAAGUGGUCGGGAUAAUUAUUGGGCUUAAAGUGUCCGUAGCUGGUAGGGUAAGUUCCUGGUAAAAUUGGGCAGCUUAACUGUCCUUGUGCUAGGGAUACUGUUCUACUAGAGGGCGGGAGAGGUCCGAGGUACUACAGGGGUAGGGGUGAAAUCUUAUAAUCCUUGUAGGACCACCAGUGGCGAAAGCGUCAGACUGGAACGCGCCUGACAGUGAGGGACGAAAGCCAGGGGAGCGAACCGGAUUAGAUACCCGGGUAGUCCUGGCCGUAAACGAUGCGCACUAGGUGAUGGUGCGGCUAUGAGCCGCAUCAGUGUCGUAGGGAAACCGUUAAGUGUGCCGCCUGGGAAGUACGGUCGCAAGGCUUAAACUUAAAGGAAUUGGACGGGGGAGCACCACAAGGGGUGAAGCCUGCGGUUC